CUCGAUAUAAAUAAUUUGAGAGAUUCCUAUUGACCCCACCAAGGCUGGCAUCAAUCCUGGGGACUACAAAGGAGCUGCUGCAUCUUUCAGAUACGAAGAUGAAAAUUUGUGCCAAAACCAUUUCUCAUCUCACAGGUACAGCUGCCACUUAUCCCUUGAUUUUCCCGUGGUGCUGCUCUGGAAAAUGAGUGCAGGGUUUGACCAUAAAUUCCCAUUUUUUCCUCUUGUUUGAUCAGGAUCUGCCUCUGUUCUGGGAGAACCAGGGCAGGUUUUCCAAAGAAGUGAAUUGGAGCAGGAGUAAACCCUAAUGAACACCAUUUUUUAAGUCUUUUGGCUUCCCAGUGUGUGCCACCCUAAAUAAAUGGCUGCUGGUGCCGUAGCAAAACACCCAGAGUGUGGUUUUAGUGCAGAAUAAUCACAAGGAAAGGCAGAUUAUAAAUUCUGGCCAUGAAACAUGACCGUGAUAAAAACCACAAAUAGACCCAGAAGGGCUUGUGGCGAUUUAAGGCAGAUCCGUUAAAAUGUGUGCACGAUAUUACAAGUUUGGGAUUGUGCUGAGCUGGGCUUUAAAGUGUUUAAAUCCCCCCAGAGGGCUCCACCAGCUCGUGUGUCACCUGAAUUCCCUGUGACAUCAGUCAGGAACCUUUCUGAGGGCCAGCACCUUCACUGAGCUGCCUCAGUGCACAACUCUAGCACCGCGCUCAUUCCUUCUUCCCUUCCACCCUAAAUUAAGCUUGAUAGUUCCCCACCUUAUUUAUUCCUUUUAAUUGACCUGGCUCAUUUCUAUAAAGUAGAUUCAGCCCUCCUGAAAGCAGCUCUGUAUUGAUCAAACCUGACCUAUUUUCUCGGUGCGCCCACCCAGCUCUCGUGGCGGCAGCGGCGGCGCAAAGCUGCUCCAUCAAUAUCCUCGUUUUGCUGCAGCAAGGACGAGAUGCACCUUCAGGGCUUGAGACCUGCUCACUCAUCGAUCUGAUGAAUAAAAUUGUCCAUGGGAAGGGGUGGGGAAAUGUUGGGAAAAAGCAAGGAGGAAGUACUGUACAACUUCACAGCCCUGGUCCAGGCCCCAUGGUCAUCCCAGCUCUCUUUAAUAUAUUUCUUUAUUGAAAUCCAGCACCCCUAUUCUGAGGAACUGAAGCCACCAUUCUGUGCACCACUCAGAAACACUCUUGCAGAAAUUUGGAAUUUAUCAGCAGAGAUUAAUUGA
This 1204-nucleotide long non-coding RNA is filed under the name Cyanistes caeruleus (blue tit). RNAcentral's name for it is "lncRNA (ENSCCEG00000007338.1)". Lineage: Eukaryota; Metazoa; Chordata; Aves; Passeriformes; Paridae. The record is from RNAcentral.